Molecule: long non-coding RNA, 512 nt
Organism: Triplophysa rosa
Lineage: Eukaryota; Metazoa; Chordata; Actinopteri; Cypriniformes; Nemacheilidae
Exons: 3
Source: RefSeq, a predicted model, not a curated record
GCGGGAGCCCUACGGGGAAGACGAAUAAGAAACACGAAAUAUUUCAGCCACUGCCGCUUGUCAUUGUUUCUGUGACUCACACAUCAUCCCCAGCAGCAUGCGAUGAGAACAACACUCAACAGAUCAGUCUGUGUGUGUGUAUUACCUGAGAGAGCUCAGGGAAUGUCUGAACCUGGAGGUUUGCCUUGUUUGCGGUCUGAAUGAGCACAGUUUUCUCCUCCACCCUCAGCAGCAUCACUGCAGUAUGUGUGCGGAACUCAUUCUCAUAUGACUGUAUCACACCUCAAAUACAUCCCAUAGAAGGAACAUUCUUCAUUUGUGAUGGCAAGUGGUGACGCACUAUUUUACAACAGUUGAAGUAGCAAUGAAUCAUAAAAUGUUUAUAUGUGAUAUGCUAAACCCAAUUUGUGCAAUGUUUCAAAGUUACAUUUUUUACGAUACAUAUUCAAUUAAGAUUAAUGCUGCCACCAAUUGGCCUACUUCUACUAUGCCCUUAAAGUACAGUAUGUACU